AUUGAACGCUGGCGGCAGGCCUAACACAUGCAAGUCGAACAGUAACAGGAAGCAGCUUGCUGCUUUGCUGACGAGUGGCGGACGGGUGAGUAAUGUCUGGGAAACUGCCCGAUGGAGGGGGAUAACUACUGGAAACGGUAGCUAAUACCGCAUAACGUCGCAAGACCAAAGAGGGGGACCUUAGGGCCUCUUGCCAUCGGAUGUGCCCAGAUGGGAUUAGCUAGUAGGUGGGGUAACGGCUCACCUAGGCGACGAUCCCUAGCUGGUCUGAGAGGAUGACCAGCCACACUGGAACUGAGACACGGUCCAGACUCCUACGGGAGGCAGCAGUGGGGAAUAUUGCACAAUGGGCGCAAGCCUGAUGCAGCCAUGCCGCGUGUAUGAAGAAGGCCUUCGGGUUGUAAAGUACUUUCAGCGGGGAGGAAGGGAGUAAAGUUAAUACCUUUGCUCAUUGACGUUACCCGCAGAAGAAGCACCGGCUAACUCCGUG
Molecule: ribosomal RNA, 490 nt
Filed under: uncultured bacterium
Lineage: Bacteria
Description: partial 16S ribosomal RNA
Rfam family: Bacterial small subunit ribosomal RNA
Source: RNAcentral